RNAcentral lists this ribosomal RNA (497 nucleotides) under uncultured bacterium. RNAcentral's name for it is "partial 16S ribosomal RNA". It matches the Rfam family "Bacterial small subunit ribosomal RNA", at positions 28 to 507 of the family's 1533-position model. The record is from RNAcentral.
GAUGAACGCUGGCGGCGUGCCUAAUACAUGCAAGUCGAGCGAACGGACGAGAAGCUUGCUGCUCUGAUGUUAGCGGCGGACGGGUGAGUAACACGUGGAUAACCUACCUAUAAGUCUGGGAUAACUUCGGGAAACCGGAGCUAAUACCGGAUAAUAUUUUGCACCGCAUGGUUCAAAAGUGAAAGACGGUCUUGCUGUCACUUAUAGAUGGCUCCGCGGUGCAUUAGGUAGUUGGUAAGGUAACGGGUUACCAAGGCAACGAUGCAUAGCCGAGGUGAGAGGGUGAUCGGCGUCGUUGGAACUGAGGCACGUUACAGACGCCCACGGGAGCCGCCGGUGGCGACAGUGCGGGAAAGUGCGCAAGGGGGGCAAGGCUACGGCGGCUGAGUGAUGAGGGUCUUGGGGUCGUAAAACUCUUAUACUUGUGAUGAACAGAUGUGUAAGUAACUGUGCAGUGUGUGGCGUUACCGAGUCAGUAAGCCCCGGCUAACUACGUG